Molecule: small RNA, 32 nt
Filed under: Arabidopsis thaliana (thale cress)
Lineage: Eukaryota; Viridiplantae; Streptophyta; Magnoliopsida; Brassicales; Brassicaceae
Description: ATSL251670
Source: RNAcentral
AGCCGAAAACAAAUAGUAGAAGAAAGAAAAAA